AGAGGAUGCAUGUGUGCGUGUGACUGCUUCUUUGUGCAAUCUUAGUGUCUGCCAUCUGUUAACCAGCUGUAAUUUCAAGAGGGGGACAUGGGAGGGAAUCAAGUAUAAUGCAAUAAGUAAUAAGGUGCUGGGGAUGCGAUGGCCAUAAAAACUGACAUGCUUCCACAGAGCUUGCAGCCCAGUGGAAAGAGAAAAGAGAGGGACAACAAUGGAAUCCUUGUCUUUCCAAUCUUAUAAAGAAUAUGGAAAUCCCUCACGUCUUACAUGGGAGCUCUUCAGAUUCCAAGAUUCCAUCACUCCUCAACACUUCUCCUGCCUCUCUCACCUGGAUGAUUGCAUUACCCUCCCAACUAGUUCCGCCAACCCCCCACCCGACCCCACUGCUUCUUCCCCCUACAGUUCAUUCUUAGCCAAACAGAUUCUUUUAAAACUAAGCCAAGUUGUGUUACCACAGUGCUCAAAACUCUCCAGGUUACCCAGAAAAUCAAAACCACAAGGAGAUACAACUUCACACUCACUGGGAUGGCUAUAAUCGAAAAGACAGAUAAUAACACAUGUUGGUCAGGAUGCGAUGAAAUUGGGACCCUCAUACACUGCUGGUGGGAACGUAAAAUGGUGCAGCUGUUUUGAAAAAUAAUCUGGCAGUUUCUCCAAUGGUUAAACAUUUCUAUUCCUCACCUAAGAGAGGAAUUUCUGGCUAGUUGACUUGAUAUCCCCCAGGUAGCUUUCCUACAAUAACCCUGUGGGGGCUUGACUCAACACUUCUACUCCUAAGUGAGAAACAGAAAUGAAAACAUAUUUCCUCACCAAAACUUGUACCUGAAUGUUCAUAGGAGUAUUAUUCAUAAUUGCUACAAAGUGGAAACAACCCAAAUACCUAUUAACCGAUGAAUAAAUUAAAAAUGGUAUAUACAGUGGAAUAUUAGCCAGUAAUGAAAAGAAAUGCAGUAUUAAUACAUGCUACAACACUGCUGAAUCUGAAAACACAGCCCAAAAGAAGCCAGUCACCAAAAAUCACAUUUUAUGUGAGUCCAUUUAUACGAAAUGUCCAGAAUAGGCAAAUCCAUAGAGAAAGAAGGCAGAUUAAUAGAUGUCUAGCACAGAGGGACUUGAGGGUAAGUGGGGAAUGGCUGUGGAAUUUCUCGUUGGGGUGAUGAACAUAUUCUAAAAUUGAUUGUUGUGAU
This 1184-nucleotide long non-coding RNA is filed under the name Homo sapiens (human). RNAcentral's name for it is "HSALNT0043601". The record is from RNAcentral. Lineage: Eukaryota; Metazoa; Chordata; Mammalia; Primates; Hominidae.